AUGCUCAGAUGGUUCGUGCAGCAACCCACCUCCUGCUCACACGCACAGCCACUUCCGCCUCCCCACAGGACUGCCAGCCUCAGGCCUCUUGUCCCCAGCUGCGGCUCAGCUGCCUGGCCCUCCCUCCAUUACCUGGGUUCUCCAGCUGACUCCGGAUGUAGCAGAGGGCAGACAGCGCUGCCUGCUGUUUGGCCUCUGUCUUGCUAUUCGCAGUGCCCGCAGGGCAGACCACACCGUCCAGUUCCACGCUCACAGAGAAGGGGAAGCAGGGACCUGGGGAAGGAGCCAGGUGAGGAAGCAGCUCCCUGGCCUUCGCCCUGUGACAGGCUCCAUCGCCACCCCAUGCUGCGCACACCCUUGAGUGCCUCUGCAGGCUGUGACCCAUCGCUGAUUCAACCAAGUCCUCACCCAACUCCUCCACAACAGGGAUGCGUGACUCCAUUUCACAGAUGA
RNAcentral lists this non-coding RNA (453 nucleotides) under Pan troglodytes (chimpanzee). The record is from RNAcentral. Lineage: Eukaryota; Metazoa; Chordata; Mammalia; Primates; Hominidae.